GUCUACAACCAUACCACUCUGAACGUGCCCAAUCGGGUCUGAGCUUGGAAGCUAAGCGGGAUUGAGCCUGGUAGCACUUGGAAGGGAGAAAGUCAUUGCCUUUGCCUAUAUCUUCAAGUGUUUUCCGGCAGUAGUUU
RNAcentral lists this ribosomal RNA (137 nucleotides) under Castor canadensis (American beaver). Lineage: Eukaryota; Metazoa; Chordata; Mammalia; Rodentia; Castoridae. The record is from RNAcentral.